AUUUCAGCAACUUCCAAAGCUACAUCUGCAAGGCUUACAGAGAAAGGUUCGCUGAUCAGGUGUUACCAAAAGUUUGCAAUUCACUUCCAAUGUCGAAUUAUUCGUUGAACGAUGUCGAAGAUUCGGUAAGCCAAAGUCGAGUUUGCCAUCCUCAAACAAACAGAUGAUCACUUCAAAUGUGCUCAAAAUAAUUAGUGGUUGUGGUUUAGGAUCCUGGAUUUAUGAAAGGCAAAAUAAUUUUUAUUUCAGAAGUCCGUACCAAACACACCCUUAAGAAUUAAUCCACUUAUAAUCAAUAAUGAUUCAACAAAUCAUCGGUCAAUCCGCUUUACAAAAGGACUAUAACUCAAACACAUAAUAAAAUCAAAUUUCC
RNAcentral lists this long non-coding RNA (373 nucleotides) under Linum usitatissimum (flax). RNAcentral describes it as "long non-coding RNA (LUSI_LNC004412)". Lineage: Eukaryota; Viridiplantae; Streptophyta; Magnoliopsida; Malpighiales; Linaceae. The record is from RNAcentral.